AAUCCAUAGGUUAAUGAGGCGAACCGGGGGAACUGAAACAUCUAAGUACCCCGAGGAAAAGAAAUCAACCGAGAUUCCCCCAGUAGCGGCGAGCGAACGGGGAGGAGCCCAGAGCCUGAAUCAGCAUGUGUGUUAGUGGAAGCGUCUGGAAAGGCGCGCGAUACAGGGUGACAGCCCCGUACACAAAAGCGCAUGUGCUGUGAGCUCGAUGAGUAGGGCGGGACACGUGGUAUCCUGUCUGAAUAUGGGGGGACCAUCCUCCAAGGCUAAAUACUCCUGACUGACCGAUAGUGAACCAGUACCGUGAGGGAAAGGCGAAAAGAACCCCGGCGAGGGGAGUGAAAAAGAACCUGAAACCGUGUACGUACAAGCAGUGGGAGCACCCUUCGGGGUGUGACUGCGUACCUUUUGUAUAAUGGGUCAGCGACUUAUAUUCUGUAGCAAGGUUAACCGUAUAGGGGAGCCGUAGGGAAACCGAGUCUUAACCGGGCGUUAAGUUGCAGGGUAUAGACCCGAAACCCGGUGAUCUAGCCAUGGGCAGGUUGAAGGUUGGGUAACACUAACUGGAGGACCGAACCGACUAAUGUUGAAAAAUUAGCGGAUGACCUGUGGCUGGGGGUGAAAGGCCAAUCAAACCGGGAGAUAGCUGGUUCUCCCCGAAAGCUAUUUAGGUAGCGCCUCGUGAAUUCAUCUCCGGGGGUAGAGCACUGUUUCGGCUAGGGGGCCAUCCCGGCUUACCAACCCGAUGCAAACUGCGAAUACCGGAGAAUGUUAUCACGGGAGACACACGGCGGGUGCUAACGUCCGUCGUGAAGAGGGAAACAACCCAGACCGCCAGCUAAGGUCCCAAAGUCAUGGUUAAGUGGGAAACGAUGUGGGAAGGCCCAGACAGCCAGGAUGUUGGCUUAGAAGCAGCCAUCAUUUAAAGAAAGCGUAAUAGCUCACUGGUCGAGUCGGCCUGCGCGGAAGAUGUAACGGGGCUAAACCAUGCACCGAAGCUGCGGC
This 1005-nucleotide ribosomal RNA is filed under the name Salmonella enterica subsp. enterica serovar Virchow. Its description in RNAcentral is "partial 23S ribosomal RNA". It matches the Rfam family "Bacterial large subunit ribosomal RNA", at positions 161 to 1206 of the family's 2925-position model. The record is from RNAcentral. Lineage: Bacteria; Pseudomonadati; Pseudomonadota; Gammaproteobacteria; Enterobacterales; Enterobacteriaceae.